AUAUUGACAGACGUGAAUGUUUGCACUUUAAUCUACUGAUGUCCAAAUCUAUGAUAUAGAUAUGAUAAUCCACGAAUCAAUGCUUGAAGUUAUACGACGGACUGGAAAGUGUGUCCAAUAGCAGCAGCGGAGAGGAGACCUUUCACAAAUCCAGCAUAUGAGCAGGCCGCAAGAUUAUUCCGGCAUCUUCUCAACUUUGUCAACAGACAGUUCUUGCGAUUUACAGUUACACGGAGGGAACUUUGCGUUGAUAAGGCAUUGAUUUGCACCAAAGGUCACAGUGUAAUGAGGCAAUACAUUCCCUCAAAGGCGGCAAAAUACGGUGUGACAUUCUGGUUACUGUGUGAAUCGGCUUCAGGGUACGUGCUCCAGAUGUCCGUGUAGGGGCAGACAGUUUGACCCUACUCCUCCUGGUCAACUACAGGGCACCAACGUAGUGCGCAACCUACUGCAAAAAGCAUACUAUGCCGUGGUUACCAUGUGUUCUGUGAUAGUUUUUUCACAUCCAUGCAUCUUGGCCAUAUGCUACUGCAGCAUCAUACAUAUGUGACGGGUACACAUCGGAAAACAAGACCGAUACCCUUAACUAUACGGAAUGCUGACCCCCGGUCAGGGACUGCUGUGUACAUGAGGCGGGGAAACUACCUAUGCGUAGCUUCUCGCGAUGCCGACCACAAAAAGCAAGCGCGGCUUCUGUCUACAAUUCCUCCUGCCCAAGACCUUCCAAACGGGCGGCCAAUUAUAGGUAUGGCGUAUACCCGUAACAUGGGUGCGGUUGAUAUGGAUGAUGGGUUAUUAAAUGCCUAUGGAAAACAGCGGAAAACCAAGAAAGUAUGGUAAAAGGUGUUUCUACAU
Long non-coding RNA from Pecten maximus, 855 nucleotides. RefSeq lists it as uncharacterized. Lineage: Eukaryota; Metazoa; Mollusca; Bivalvia; Pectinida; Pectinidae. The record is from RefSeq and is a predicted model, not a curated record. The transcript has 3 exons.